Molecule: ribosomal RNA, 417 nt
Filed under: uncultured eukaryote
Lineage: Eukaryota
Description: SSU rRNA
Rfam family: Eukaryotic small subunit ribosomal RNA
Source: RNAcentral
AUUGGAUAUGGGUCUCGGUCGGGUGGUGCCGCCUCACGGUGGUCACUGCCUCGAUCGGACAAUUCAUUGGAUCGUUCGGGGUGCUCUUAACCGAGUGUCCUGGGUGGCCGAUACGUUUACUUUGAACAAAUUAAGUGCUUAAAGCAGGUGCACCGCGCCUGAAUAUCACAGCAUGGAAUGAUGGAAUAGGACCUCGGUCUUAUUAUGUUGGUUUUCUGGACUUGAGGUAAUGGUUAACAGAGACAGACGGGGGCAUUCGUACUGCGACGCUAGAGGUGAAAUUCUUGGACCGUCGCAAGACGAACAAGUGCGAAAGCAUUUGCCACGAAUGUCUUCAUUACUCACGAACGAAAGUUAGAGGUUCGAAAGGCGAUCAGAUACCGGCCCUAGUUCUAAACCAUUAAACGAUGCCAACCA